This 909-nucleotide ribosomal RNA is filed under the name Staphylococcus aureus. RNAcentral describes it as "partial 23S ribosomal RNA". It matches the Rfam family "Bacterial large subunit ribosomal RNA", at positions 1487 to 2393 of the family's 2925-position model. Lineage: Bacteria; Bacillati; Bacillota; Bacilli; Caryophanales; Staphylococcaceae. The record is from RNAcentral.
CGAAGCGUGCGAUUGGAUUGCACGUCUAAGCAGUAAGGCUGAGUAUUAGGCAAAUCCGGUACUCGUUAAGGCUGAGCUGUGAUGGGGAGAAGACAUUGUGUCUUCGAGUCGUUGAUUUCACACUGCCGAGAAAAGCCUCUAGAUAGAAAAUAGGUGCCCGUACCGCAAACCGACACAGGUAGUCAAGAUGAGAAUUCUAAGGUGAGCGAGCGAACUCUCGUUAAGGAACUCGGCAAAAUGACCCCGUAACUUCGGGAGAAGGGGUGCUCUUUAGGGUUAACGCCCAGAAGAGCCGCAGUGAAUAGGCCCAAGCGACUGUUUAUCAAAAACACAGGUCUCUGCUAAACCGUAAGGUGAUGUAUAGGGGCUGACGCCUGCCCGGUGCUGGAAGGUUAAGAGGAGUGGUUAGCUUCUGCGAAGCUACGAAUCGAAGCCCCAGUAAACGGCGGCCGUAACUAUAACGGUCCUAAGGUAGCGAAAUUCCUUGUCGGGUAAGUUCCGACCCGCACGAAAGGCGUAACGAUUUGGGCACUGUCUCAACGAGAGACUCGGUGAAAUCAUAGUACCUGUGAAGAUGCAGGUUACCCGCGACAGGACGGAAAGACCCCGUGGAGCUUUACUGUAGCCUGAUAUUGAAAUUCGGCACAGCUUGUACAGGAUAGGUAGGAGCCUUUGAAACGUGAGCGCUAGCUUACGUGGAGGCGCUGGUGGGAUACUACCCUAGCUGUGUUGGCUUUCUAACCCGCACCACUUAUCGUGGUGGGAGACAGUGUCAGGCGGGCAGUUUGACUGGGGCGGUCGCCUCCUAAAAGGUAACGGAGGCGCUCAAAGGUUCCCUCAGAAUGGUUGGAAAUCAUUCAUAGAGUGUAAAGGCAUAAGGGAGCUUGACUGCGAGACCUACAAGUCGAG